This is a non-coding RNA of Salvia hispanica, 1797 nucleotides long. The record is from RefSeq and is a predicted model, not a curated record. Lineage: Eukaryota; Viridiplantae; Streptophyta; Magnoliopsida; Lamiales; Lamiaceae.
CACAUUCUCUGAUUCUCUCCUCUAUCUCUCCUCCCUCCUCGGCGCCGACGCAAACCCUAAAAAUCCAACGCCCCGAUUCGCCGGAAAAUCCGUCGCCUACCACCGAAUCACCGCCGGAAACGACACCACUACACCUUACCACUGUUAAUCCAAAGAUUUAGACCUAAACGACUACCAAAACAAUCUCAAGCCCUAAUUUUCCAACAUUCAAUUGCCGACGAAUUUCUCUUCGCCGACAGUUUACCGACGCCUCCAUAACCGAUUUAACUUAGACGACGGAGGGUGGUGUAAAAUCCGAUUCACAACAGCAAAAAAACCAUUGAUAUGCUAAUCAAUUACAUCAAAAUCGGUUUCGAUUAAAGAAUCGUCGAAGUGGCGGAACACUUUCUACGAUUCAACAAAUAGAUCGAAAAUAUUGGACAAAAUGCGAAAAAAAAUGCGAAAACCCCAAAUUAGCAUGCCUGAUCAACAGAAAUAUUGAAAGACAAUGAUAUAUGCAAGAAGAAGGAUAAAAAGAUUCUGCAGUCAAUUCAUCAAGCCAAUCAGAGGUGAAGAUCUAUUAUCAAUUUCAUGGUGCAGAUUCCAAAAAGGAUAAAGGAUGAUGACAUUGAAGAUCAAUGAAAUACUUAUAAAUGGCAGAAAGUUGCCUAAAAACUGUGGAAUAAGAAGAUGGCAAAGUAGUAUCAAUCGAUUGGAAAAAGGUGGAGAGCAUAAAAAAGAAGAAUGAAACAGAAGAAAAAAGAACUCAAAGGUGCACAAAUAAAAGUGGAUGAGAAUCAAGAUCAAUAGAAAAAAGUUGAAAACAAAGAAAAAAAAAAAGUAAAGAACAGAAGAUAUCAACACAUCAAAGGUGCACAAAAUCAGAAUCUAUCAGUGAUAAAAGUUGCUAAGAAUCAAGAUCAAUUGAAAAAAGUUGAAAAACAAAGAUAAAAGGGGAAAGAACUGAAGAUAUCAAGACAUCAAAGGAAAAAGGGAAAAGAAGAAAAAGAAGAUUAGCUGUCUCCUUUCUCUCUUCAAACUACCAUCAUUACAGAGAGAAGAGAAAAAGAUGAGAUGGCAAGCAUGAGAGGCUUACAAAGCCUACUCCUACUGAUUCUGAUUUCUUCUCUCAGUUUUCAAAAAGAGGUAUUAAUUGCAUAUGCAGAAAAUCUGAAUCUCUCUCUUUCUCUCUCUUGGAAACUGCAUACUCUCUCUCUCUCUCUCUCUCUCUCUCUCUCUCUCUCUCUCUCUCUCUCUCUCUCUCUCUCUCUCUCUCUCUCUCUCCGCAAUGCACGCUGCUUGCUAGGUAAACCUACAAUUGCUCAGCAAAAAGUAGGAGAUGAGAGAAGAAAGAAGAAGAUAAAGAGCAUUUUAUUGCAGGAAUACAAAUAGGGUUAUAUCAAACCCUAAUAAACAGGAGCCGCCUCUACUAUAGCAGAAAAAGGAGAGAGAAAGAGAUAUUACUGUAUAAAGGUGGUUACAUCAUAAUCAUUUUAUAGGCCUGCAGAGGACCAUAUAUUCACUUUAUUACACAAACAUAAUUCAAGGAAGAAGAAGAAUAUAAUUCAAGGUAUGGAUUGCAAAGAGGUCUAAAGGAGAAUGGAAUAGCUUGAAAGAAUGGAAUAAAUAUAUAAUGUAAUAGUAGUAAAUAGAUGUAAUAGUAGUAAAUAGUAAAUAUUGUAAUAGAAUAGAAUAGUAGGAGUAUAUAAAAAGUAGGCCUUAUGGCAGAUAUAGGCCUGUCUCUACACAAUUUUCCAUAAAAUGACCGAAAAUACAACAAUGAAGCUAAAUUUAAUAGGAUUGAUGAUAUUUACACAA